GGAUGAUGGAGCCCAGGCCGGCCCGCACGGCCGUCACGCACUCCACAUUCUGCAGCUCCCGCAGCCGCAGGCUCCGGAUGGCUGCCGCGUAGAUGUCCUUGUUCUCCCACGCCACAAGGAUGUGCCGGCCCCGGCUGCACAGCUCCACCUCCUCGCCCGUCAUGGUCAGGUAGGUGAACCUGCAGCAGGGCUUGUUGGGGCUGUCAGGGCUCUCCGUGGCCAG
Molecule: long non-coding RNA, 223 nt
Filed under: Homo sapiens (human)
Lineage: Eukaryota; Metazoa; Chordata; Mammalia; Primates; Hominidae
Description: LNC_000870
Source: RNAcentral